GUUUGCACUUAUCGGGGAAGGGUGAGAACCUUCGAUUAAGGUUCGACUCGAGCGAAAGCGAGAGAACGUUGCCAACGGCAACGGCCCGUAGGGUGAGGAGCGAAGCGACGAAUAAUCCUUCCACCACCAUCA
This 132-nucleotide small RNA is filed under the name Salmonella enterica subsp. enterica serovar Tennessee. Its description in RNAcentral is "RtT RNA". It matches the Rfam family "RtT RNA". Rfam says of the family: This family represents a bacterial cis-regulatory element known as RtT RNA. The exact function of RtT is unknown although it is thought that it may be involved in changing the cellular response in relation to amino acid starvation. Lineage: Bacteria; Pseudomonadati; Pseudomonadota; Gammaproteobacteria; Enterobacterales; Enterobacteriaceae. The record is from RNAcentral.